UUGUUGAUUUUUUAUGCUAAGAAAAAUAAGCUUAUUUAAGUGGGCAUACAAAAUAUCUUGGCAUUUGUGGCAUGAACAAGAUGUCGGCCCAAGUUCUCUCUCUAAACACUUACUAGUUUGUGACCUUGGAAGAGUUAUCUAAUCCCUCUGUGUUUAGUUUCCUCUUUUCUAAGAUGGUGGUAGCAACACUUGGUCUCUCUGAUGUUCAUAAGGCAUGAAGGGUUAUUGAAGUAUUAGAUAA
Molecule: long non-coding RNA, 241 nt
Filed under: Pan troglodytes (chimpanzee)
Lineage: Eukaryota; Metazoa; Chordata; Mammalia; Primates; Hominidae
Description: long non-coding RNA NONPTRT003508
Source: RNAcentral